Molecule: ribosomal RNA, 495 nt
Filed under: uncultured bacterium
Lineage: Bacteria
Description: partial 16S ribosomal RNA
Rfam family: Bacterial small subunit ribosomal RNA
Source: RNAcentral
GACGAACGCUGGCGGCGUGCCUAAUACAUGCAAGUAGAACGCAGAAGGAGGAGCUUGCUUCUCUGGAUGAGUUGCGAACGGGUGAGUAACGCGUAGGUAACCUGCCUUGUAGUGGGGGAUAACUAUAGGAAACGAUAGCUAAUACCGCAUAAGAGUAGAUGUUGCAUGACAUUGGCUGGAAAGGUGCAAUUGCAGCACUAGCAGAUGGGCCUGCGUUGUAUUAGCUAGGUGGUGGGGUAACGGCUCACCAAGGCGAGGAUACAUAGCCGACCUGAGGUGGGGGUUGGCCGCCCUGGGACUGUGACACGGCCCAGACGCCUUCGGGAGGCAGCCGUAGGGCAUCUUCGGCAAUGGGUGGAAAUCUUACCGCGCAACGCCGCGGGCGUGAAGAAGGUUUUCGGAUCCUAAAGCUCUGUUGUCAGGGAAUAACGAGCUUGCGACUGGAACGUUCACACUGUGACGGUAACUUACCAGAAAGCAACGGCUAACUACGUG